This 255-nucleotide ribosomal RNA is filed under the name uncultured bacterium. RNAcentral's name for it is "partial 16S ribosomal RNA". It matches the Rfam family "Bacterial small subunit ribosomal RNA", at positions 524 to 776 of the family's 1533-position model. The record is from RNAcentral.
UACGUAGGGACCAAGCGUUGUCCGGAAUCAUUGGGCGUAAAGCGCGCGUAGGUGGCCAUUUAAGUCCGCUGUGAAAGUCAAAGGCUCAACCUUUGAAAGCCGGUGGAUACUGGAUGGCUAGAGUACGGAAGAGGCGAGUGGAAUUCCUGGUGUAGCGGUGGAAUGCGCAGAGUAUCAGGAGGAACACCGGUGGCGAAGGCGGGUCUCGUGGGCCGAUGACUGACGCUGAGGAGCGAAAGCGUGGGAGCGAACAGG